This 450-nucleotide ribosomal RNA is filed under the name uncultured bacterium. Its description in RNAcentral is "bacterial SSU rRNA". It matches the Rfam family "Bacterial small subunit ribosomal RNA", at positions 355 to 796 of the family's 1533-position model. The record is from RNAcentral.
UGGGGAAUUGUUCGCAAUGGGCGCAAGCCUGACGACGCAACGCCGCGUGGAGGAUGAAGACUUUCGGGUCGUAAACUCCUGUCGAAUGGGACGAAAAAGAUGCGGGUUAACAGCCCGCGUUUCUGACGGUACCGUUAAAGGAAGCCCCGGCUAACUCCGUGCCAGCAGCCGCGGUAAUACGGGGGGGGCAAGCGUUGUUCGGAAUUACUGGGCGUAAAGGGCUCGUAGGCGGCCAACUAAGUCAGACGUGAAAUCCCUCAGCUUAACUGGGGAACUGCGUCUGAUACUGGAUGGCUUGGAUUCGGGAGAGGGAUGCGGAAUUCCAGGUGUAGCGGUGAAAUGCGUAGAUAUCUGGAGGAACACCGGUGGCGAAGGCGGCAUCCUGGACCGAUAUUGACGCUGAGGAGCGAAAGCUAGGGGAGCAAACGGGAUUAGAUACCCCCGUAGUCC